GACGAACGCUGGCGGCGUGCCUAAUACAUGCAAGUAGAACGCUGAAGAGAGGAGCUUGCUCUUCUUGGAUGAGUUGCGAACGGGUGAGUAACGCGUAGGUAACCUGCCUUGUAGCGGGGGAUAACUAUUGGAAACGAUAGCUAAUACCGCAUAACAAUGGAUGACACAUGUCAUUUAUUUGAAAGGGGCAAUUGCUCCACUACAAGAUGGACCUGCGUUGUAUUAGCUAGUAGGUGAGGUAAUGGCUCACCUAGGCGACGAUACAUAGCCGACCUGAGAGGGUGAUCGGCCGCACUGGGACUGAGACACGGCCCAGACUCCCACGGGAGGCAGCAGUAGGGAAUCUUCGGCAAUGGGGGCAACCCUGACCGAGCAACGCCGCGUGAGUGAAGAAGGUUUUCGGAUCGUAAAGCUCUGUUGUAGGUCAAGAACGGGUGUGAGAGUGGAAAGUUCACACUGUGACGGUAGCUUACCAGAAAGGGACGGCUAACUACGUG
This 497-nucleotide ribosomal RNA is filed under the name uncultured bacterium. Its description in RNAcentral is "partial 16S ribosomal RNA". It matches the Rfam family "Bacterial small subunit ribosomal RNA", at positions 28 to 507 of the family's 1533-position model. The record is from RNAcentral.